GGCUGUGCAAGUCACAUGCAGGGAGGUGUGACUAGGGUUCAUAAACAAAGGGAUUUAACUCCUAAAUGGCAGAGGAUUGAGCAGUGAGGCUGCAGGGGCAUGUUCUAUACACCAAAACUGCUUCAUUAAGCUAAAGUUGUUCAGGUGACUAUAGUGUCCCUUUAAUUCAUUUGUUCAAGUUUGAAGUAAUCCAUGGAAGACCCAC
Non-coding RNA from Pelobates cultripes (western spadefoot toad), 205 nucleotides. Lineage: Eukaryota; Metazoa; Chordata; Amphibia; Anura; Pelobatidae. The record is from the annotation of a GenBank genome assembly.